AAACUAACAAGGAUUCCCCUAGUAACGGCGAGUGAAGCGGGAAAAGCUCAAAUUUGAAAUCUGGUAGCCUCAGGCUGCCCGAGUUGUAAUCUAUAGAAACGUUUUCCGCGCUGGCCCAUGUACAAGUCUCCUGGAAUGGAGCGUCAUAGAGGGUGAGAAUCCCGUCCUUGACAUGGACUACCAGUGCUUUGUGAUACGUUUUCAAAGAGUCGAGUUGUUUGGGAAUGCAGCUCAAAAUGGGUGGUAAAUUCCAUCUAAAGCUAAAUAUUGGCGAGAGACCGAUAGCGAACAAGUACCGUGAGGGAAAGAUGAAAAGCACUUUGGAAAGAGAGUUAAACAGUAUGUGAAAUUGUUGAAAGGGAAACGAUUGAAGUCAGUCAUGUCUAUUGGACUCAGCCGGUUCUGCCGGUGUACUUCCUUUAGAUGGGGUCAACAUCAGUUUUGAUCGCUGGAAAAGGGCAGGAGGAAUGUAGCACUCUCGGGUGAACUUAUAGCCUCCUGUCGUAUACAGUGGUUGGGACUGAGGAACGCAGCAUGCCUUUAUGGCCGGGGUUCGCCCACGUACAUGCUUAGGAUGUUGACAUAAUGGCUUUAAACGAC
RNAcentral lists this ribosomal RNA (600 nucleotides) under Solicoccozyma phenolica. Its description in RNAcentral is "eukaryotic LSU rRNA". It matches the Rfam family "Eukaryotic large subunit ribosomal RNA", at positions 62 to 648 of the family's 3401-position model. Lineage: Eukaryota; Fungi; Basidiomycota; Tremellomycetes; Filobasidiales; Piskurozymaceae. The record is from RNAcentral.